GUCAACACAUUUGGUUACAGGAGGUCGCAUAUGGAAUUUAGUAAGAUGACCCAAAUUUUCAGAAGGGAGAAAAGAUGAGCCGGCCAUUCUUCUCUUUCAAAUUCGCCUUCUUCUUCUCCCUUUCUCUUGCCGCUUCCUACACUGUCACUUCAACCCCAACAUUCUACUCCUUCCGUAAGAUCAAACUACGUGCCUCACCGUCCGUACCCAAGGCCUCAGUCGCCGAUUUGCUCGCUCUGUUGGGCCCACCUCAACAAGCCUUAGCUGUUAACUCUCAAGAGGCGCGUCAGCUACGUUCUUGCUUCAAAUUCCUAGUUCCUUUUUCUCCCACUCCGAAUAGACGCUCGUUGAGUGAUCAUCGAAGGAGUAUAAACCAACAGAAUGAGCUUAUUUGGUGGCCGCCGGCGCCGGUAAUGGAGCUUGCUCGGAUCGCUGUUGAUUCUGGUGGUGAUACUGCGUCUGUUCAAAGGACUCUUGAUCCAACAGUCAUCCCUGUUCCUGACAUUGAAGGAUCAAAGGAAGACCGAUGUGAACUUACCAGAACUCCUUAUGGAAGACUGUUUAUUAAUGAGGAGAUAAAUUCAUACCUCGAAUCUUUGUUUGAAAUGAUUGUUGCUCGGGGACCCAGUGUUGGGCUGAAUGUAUCAUUGUCGCGCUUUGAUUUCUUUCAUGGUCAUGUCUUUCUUACCAGAGACUCUGGAAGACUUGGGAUCUUGUUCCAUGCUAAGGAGUAUCCAGCAUAUGAUAAGGAAGUUUUUCCUUGCAACAUGGGCUACUGCCAAAUAGGAACUAAUGUUUCUUAUGACGAUUCAAUGAAUUUGCGUAACAUAUUGUGGCUAGCUCCAUUAGCUAGCAACUCCUCAAAUGAAUGGUUAGCACCAGUUAAUAGCUGCAGAAAUGCAACUAUAGUUUGGAGUUCAAUUACCAAGAUUCUUGAGAAAUUUAUGGGGCUGUUAGUGAACAUUGUUCUGGCAUGUAUCACUGGGAUGAGAGCUUUCUCACAUCAACUCAGAUUUCCUCUUGAUAUUCCCCUUUGAGAAACAAACUCACAGAGUCUUAGUUGUCCUGGAUGCACGUCCAACUGGAGUCAUAUACAAGGACCUCAUACCCGAGUAUGUUCAAAUUGCCAGGACCCUGUAUGAAGAUGAUUUUGGGGACGUUGCUUUUGAUGUUAACUACCUAAACACAGGAGGUGAACCUCCUAAGUUUCAAAUUUUCAUUUGCUGACUUCUUUGGAAAGGUUUGACUGUCAAUUUGCAGUUUCACGAAGUGAGUAUCCAUAUACUCUAUAAAUAUUGCUUUGUCAUUGUCAUGUAAUUUCUCUGGCCGAAUCGAAAUAAAUCUUUGAAUCUAGCGCAUUCAAGUGGAUGGUUGUUUAGUAAAGGAUUUGUUUUACGGAGAUAUUACUAUUGGAAUCGCGAGCCUUUAGUCAUUUAGUUUGUGAGGGGAAAUCCUUAUGACAAAUAUCCUCUCUGGAUUAUACUGUGAAGCUUGGACAAUGAAACAAUGACUGAACUGUGGGAUUGCAGUGUAGGAUUUGUGGGUUCAUAGAAACCCAAUAGCUUUUGUUUAUUCCACGUUUAUAUGAUAAGAAAUCCAUUAAACAUUUAAAUUUUAUUGUAAACUCAGUUAUUAAUUUGAGGUUGCUUAUGAACUUCUAUGUA
This is an RNA transcript of Solanum lycopersicum (tomato), 1664 nucleotides long. RefSeq lists it as uncharacterized. The record is from RefSeq and is a predicted model, not a curated record. NCBI's taxonomy places the organism in Eukaryota, Viridiplantae, Streptophyta, Magnoliopsida, Solanales, Solanaceae.